Long non-coding RNA from Astyanax mexicanus (Mexican tetra), 1774 nucleotides. RefSeq lists it as uncharacterized. The transcript is spliced from 3 exons. NCBI's taxonomy places the organism in Eukaryota, Metazoa, Chordata, Actinopteri, Characiformes, Acestrorhamphidae. The record is from RefSeq and is a predicted model, not a curated record.
AAUAAGCUUCCUUCUACUACUUUUACAGUACUGCUCACAGUAACACUACCUUAAACGUGGCACUUUGGUGACUGACACUGACCGAUUAAUUUAGCUGGAAGCACAAACUGAGGGGGGAUAAGAAAGAAUUCACACAAAAAGUUUUUCAAAAAAGCUGCUGUUGUCCAGAAGAACAUUCUGAGUGGCUUCUAUAAGCUCCUCUUUGUGUUCUGAGACGUGUGGCUCUAUACUGAGCUUCUGGGAGGCUAGAAGCACAUGCUGACCCGACACCAUGAGAGACUCCAGCAGUGGACUCAUUUCCAUCUUCAGGACUUCAUCAUCACAACCUGACAUCACUCUGGAGACAAGGAAGCCUGAGAAGUAACUGACCUUGAUGCCACAGCAGCCAUGUUCUUGGAGGCCUUGGCCACAGCGUGAGCAGCCGCCUCCAGCUGGGUGAACUGUUCCGGCUCAUCCUCGCUCUCAGACAGCAGCUUGAGGUAACACAGCUGAGCGGCGAAUGGGGCCAUAAGCUGCUCUAUCGAGCUGGUCUUUAUCAAGCCAUCUACUGUAGACUCCAUCACUGACGAGAGAAACAUUAAUCUUAGCUGAUUUAUUAUAUUUACACACUAUAAUCAUCACAGUACUGUGUUCAGGUGAACAUGAAAAAACUGGAUUCAGAGACUCUCAUACUCAGACUUUAAACAUUAUUUAAUAAAAUAAUAUUUUAAAAGUAUAAAGUAUAAAUCCAGAGUUAUAUAUUGAGGAAAUAGGUGUGCUGUCUCUCUGGUAAAGCCAUGUUUAAAAAUAAAGAGAACUAAAAAACUAGUACAGUGUUAAAUAUUACAAAAUUACUCACAGUCCAACACAAUGUACCGCUCUUGCUCUUUAAAAGCAGGUAAAUUGAUUAAAUAAUAAGAAAUAGUUGUGUUAUUACCUGCCGUUGCAGCAGUGCUGUGCAGCUACCUGGAACAUGGUAGGAAUAAAUGAAUAAUGCAGUUCAUUUGCAGGAAAGUGAUUGUGAUUGGCUCUCUCGUGUCUAAUGGCAACCAGUGUCAUCUGAUCCAAACAAUGGCCUCAUUAAAUAUUUAUAUUUUUAAAGAGUAGAAAUGUUAUCACAGUGGAUAGAAUCUGUAAGAAUGAAGGGCUAUACCCAGAGAAUAAAUUACAACACCAAUAUAUUUACAUUUAAUCUGUUUAGAUGUUUGGAUAUUUAGGAUCCUGUUGGACUAAAUUUUGUUUUAAUUCUAAUGAUAAUCCUAGAAGUAUUCUGCAACAUUGAUCAAAACCUACCCUAAAGAGUCACGAGAGAGUAUGUUAGACUACUUUGGCUAAUUGUUUAAUACACUGAAAAAAAUUGUGUGCUUGAUCUACUUAAAAAAAUCAUGUCAACUUUUUGCAUCAGAUAAUUAGGUAGAUCAAGCAAGAGUAGUCAUUGUAUUUACUACUUAAUUUUCUCAAGUAGUGCUAACAUACUUUUUCAAAUAGUUACAACUUAAUUUUCUCAAGUAGGGCUAACAUACUUUUUCAGGUAGUGUCAAUAGACUCUUUUAAGUAUUAAGUAUACACUGCUGCCUUAAAAAGUGUUUAAUUUGUCCUAGUUAAUCUGUCCUAGAAAGAGCAUUGUGACACAGGUAGUGACUAAAACCCUAGUAAAUACAACAAUACUUUUGUUUGUUGUGCAGGUGAAUAUAUCUAGUUUUUAAUUACUCCACAUUUGUUCAAACUAUAAGACAUUGUGUAUUUUUCCUUAAUAUAAUUUAUUUAUGUAAUCCCAACAAAUCUUUUUUAGGUA